Molecule: long non-coding RNA, 645 nt
Filed under: Cyanistes caeruleus (blue tit)
Lineage: Eukaryota; Metazoa; Chordata; Aves; Passeriformes; Paridae
Description: lncRNA (ENSCCEG00000009103.1)
Source: RNAcentral
AGGUGCUUGUGAGUAGCCUUGGAUAGGUUCCUCAGAAAAACAUUCUCUGUCCAGGAAUGCCUCAGCAGUGGAAAAAAAAUCUUCUGGAAAUCAGAAAAAUGUUGACGACUCCAUAGGUCCCACUGCCCCUGUUUUCCAGAGCUGUGGCUGCUUGGCCAUCCCCCUUUGGAGGGCUGGCUGCCAGGUUAGUGACAGAGCUCCUGGGGAGGGGGAACACGUUUCUGCAGGUCCCGGGCUGAGGAGCGCGCAGGCAGGCGGGAGCUCUGCGAGCCUUCCACAGCUCCUCACCAGCUGACACGGAAACACAGGAGGCACCCUCUCCCCAGCUAAUAUUUUUUUUAAUCUUAGUCCGCUCCCUGUUUCGCAGAUGUCUUAGGGACCUUACUAAGUCUUGCAUUCAGGCUCUUGGCCCUGAUGAAGCAGAAGCUGCCUGCAGGCAGCUUUUGGACAGCUGGAUGAAGAUAUCACUCAUCAACCAUCAGCCCUCUCCAGGGAAGGGAAACCAGAGCUUCAUCUGCAGAAGUGCUGUGCAAUGAGACCUGGAGCAGCUCAGCUUCCUGCAGUGCAAAUGGACCUGGAUUCUGACCUCACCCGGGCUGCAGGCAGUUGCAGGAGGAAUAAAAAAUAAAUCUGGGCUUGUUGCCA